GUAAAGCGUGCGUAGGUGGUCAGUCAAGUCCGAUGUGAAGGCGCUGGGCUCAACCUGGGAACUGCAUUGGAAACUGGCUGACUGGAGUGCGGUAGAGGGUAGUGGAAUUCCCGGUGUAGCAGUGAAAUGCGUAGAUAUCGGGAGGAACAUCCGUGGCGAAGGCGACUACCUGGACCAGCACUGACACUGAGGCACGAAAGCGUGGGGAGCA
This 211-nucleotide ribosomal RNA is filed under the name uncultured bacterium. RNAcentral's name for it is "partial 16S ribosomal RNA". It matches the Rfam family "Bacterial small subunit ribosomal RNA", at positions 560 to 770 of the family's 1533-position model. The record is from RNAcentral.